RNAcentral lists this ribosomal RNA (468 nucleotides) under uncultured bacterium. RNAcentral's name for it is "partial 16S ribosomal RNA". It matches the Rfam family "Bacterial small subunit ribosomal RNA", at positions 28 to 507 of the family's 1533-position model. The record is from RNAcentral.
GACGAACGCUGGCGGCGUGCUUAACACAUGCAAGUCGAACGGAAAGGCCCUGCUUUUGUGGGGUGCUCGAGUGGCGAACGGGUGAGUAACACGUGAGUAACCUGCCCUUGACUUUGGGAUAACUUCAGGAAACUGGGGCUAAUACCGGAUAGGAGCUCCUGCUGCAUGGUGGGGGUUGGAAAGUUUCGGCGGUUGGGGAUGGACUCGCGGCUUAUCAGCCUGUUGGUGGGGUAGUGGCUUACCAAGGCUUUGACGGGUAGCCGGCAUGGGAGGGUGACCGGGCACAUUGGGACUGAGAUACGGACCAGACUCCUACGGGAGGCAGCAGUGGGGAAUAUUGCACAAUGGGCGGAAGCCUGAUGCAGCAACGCCGCGUGCGGGAUGACGGCCUUCGGGUUGUAAACCGCUUUCGCCUGUGACGAAGCGUGAGUGACGGUAAUGGGUAAAGAAGCACCGGCUAACUACGUG